UAAGGAAUAUUGGUCAAUGGGCGAGAGCCUGAACCAGCCAUGCCGCGUGCAGGAAGACGGCCUUAUGGGUUGUAAACUGCUUUUAUCGGGGAAUAAACCUAUCUACGUGUAGAUAGCUGAAGGUACCCGAAGAAUAAGCAUCGGCUAACUCCGUGCCAGCAGCCGCGGUAAUACGGAGGAUGCAAGCGUUAUCCGGAUUCAUUGGGUUUAAAGGGUGCGCAGGCGGAUUGGUAAGUCAGUGGUGAAAUUCAACGGCUCAACUGUUGAUCUGCCAUUGAUACUGUUGUUCUUGAGUACACUUGGAGUGGGCGGAAUGUGUCAUGUAGCGGUGAAAUGCUUAGAUAUGACACAGAACACCGAUCGCGAAGGCAGCUCACUAAAUUGUAACUGACGCUCAUGCACGAAAGCGUGGGGAUCAAACA
This 422-nucleotide ribosomal RNA is filed under the name uncultured prokaryote. Its description in RNAcentral is "bacterial SSU rRNA". It matches the Rfam family "Bacterial small subunit ribosomal RNA", at positions 355 to 774 of the family's 1533-position model. The record is from RNAcentral.